RNAcentral lists this ribosomal RNA (83 nucleotides) under Miscanthus sinensis (eulalia). RNAcentral describes it as "5.8S rRNA". It matches the Rfam family "5.8S ribosomal RNA", at positions 1 to 78 of the family's 154-position model. Rfam says of the family: 5.8S ribosomal RNA (5.8S rRNA) is a component of the large subunit of the eukaryotic ribosome. Lineage: Eukaryota; Viridiplantae; Streptophyta; Magnoliopsida; Poales; Poaceae. The record is from RNAcentral.
CACAUGACUCUCGGCAACGGAUAUCUCGGCUCUCGCAUCGAUGAAGAACGUAGCAAAAUGMGAUACCUGGUGUGAAUUGCAGA